AGCUGCCCAAUUAGUGUUGUGCGGCCAGUGGCGAGGCGAGGGCCGGGGAGCGAGCGAGCACGCAAGGCGGGAGGGGUGGCCGGAGCUGCGGCGGCUGGCACAGGAGGAGGAGCCCGGGUGGACGAGGAGCGGCCGGACAGCGCCGGGGCCUGAGCUCCCGGAGCGGCGCCUGUGAGUGAGUGCAGAAAGCAGGCGCCCGCGCGCUCGCCGUGGCAGGAGCAGCCCGCACGCCGCGCUCUCUCCCUGGGCGACCUGCAGUUUGCAAUAUGACUUUGGAGGAAUUCUCGGCUGGAGAGCAGAAGACCGAAAGGAUGGAUAAGGUGGGGGAUGCCCUGGAGGAAGUGCUCAGCAAAGCCCUGAGUCAGCGCACGAUCACUGUCGGGGUGUACGAAGCGGCCAAGCUGCUCAACGUGUAAGUGGGGCCCUUGCGCGUCCCCCGUGGCACCCCUUCCCUCCCCAGCCCGGGAGGUCGCCUUGGCUGGGCGCCCCUCGCCCGGCCGCGCCACUUCCUGUCGCUUUUCUGCCUGUCUCGGAGGGGAGGGGGCGAGUGGGCCGGGCGGCGACCCCCGGCAGGGGGCAGGGGUUGAGGGUGCCCGCGUUUCUGCGCUCACUGGCCCCGCCCGCUGCCCCCAGCGAUCCCGAUAACGUGGUGUUGUGCCUGCUGGCGGCGGACGAGGACGACGACAGAGAUGUGGCUUUGCAGAUCCACUUCACCCUGAUCCAGGCGUUUUGCUGCGAGAACGACAUCAACAUCCUGCGCGUCAGCAACCCAGGCCGGUUGGCGGAGCUCCUACUCUUGGAGACCGACGCUGGCCCCGCGGCGAGCGAGGGCGCCGAGCAGCCCCCGGACCUGCACUGCGUGCUGGUGACGG
RNAcentral lists this small RNA (872 nucleotides) under Pongo abelii (Sumatran orangutan). Its description in RNAcentral is "processed transcript". Lineage: Eukaryota; Metazoa; Chordata; Mammalia; Primates; Hominidae. The record is from RNAcentral.